This 870-nucleotide ribosomal RNA is filed under the name Trapelia corticola. RNAcentral describes it as "bacterial SSU rRNA". It matches the Rfam family "Eukaryotic small subunit ribosomal RNA", at positions 108 to 861 of the family's 1831-position model. Lineage: Eukaryota; Fungi; Ascomycota; Lecanoromycetes; Trapeliales; Trapeliaceae. The record is from RNAcentral.
AGUUAUCGUUUAUUUGAUAGUACCUACUUACUUGGACAACCGUGGUAAUUCUAGAGCUAAUACAUGCUAAAAACCCCGACUUCGGAAGGGGUGUAUUUAUUAGAUAAAAAACCAAUGCCCUUCGGGGCUCCUUGGUGAUUCAUAAUAACUUAACGAAUCGCAUGGCCUUGCGCCGGCGAUGGUUCAUUCAAAUUUCUGCCCUAUCAACUUUCGAUGGUAGGAUAGUGGUACGUACCCUUCGUAACUGGUAAUGAAUUUUGGUGUCCAAAUCAACUAACAUGUUUGCUUACAGGCCUACCAUGGUGGCAACGGGUAACGGGGAAUUAGGGUUCGAUUCCGGAGAGGGAGCCUGAGAAACGGCUACCACAUCCAAGGAAGGCAGCAGGCGCGCAAAUUACCCAAUCCCGACACGGGGAGGUAGUACGUCGAUCCCCCCACAUCCCCCCGCCGAAGAACACAUUGCUAACGAACGGCAUCUAGGUGACAAUAAAUACUGAUGUGGAGCUCUUUAGGGUUUCACAAUUGGAAUGAGCGAAAUCUAAACCCCUCAACGAGGAACAAUUGGAGGGCAAGUCUGGUGCCAGCAGCCGCGGUAAUUCCAGCUCCAAUAGCGUAUAUUAAAUUUGUUGCAGUUAAAAAGCUCGUAGUUGAACCUUGGGCCUGGCCGGCUGGUCCGCCUCACCGCGUGUACUGGUUCGGCCGGACCUUUCCUUCUGGGGAACCGCAUGCCCUUCACUGGGUGUGCCGGGGAUCCAGGACUUUUACUUUGAAAAAAUUAGAGUGUUCAAAGCAGGCAUUAGCUCGAAUACAUUAGCAUGGAAUAAUAGAAUAGGACGUUGUGGUUCUAUUUUGUUGGUUUCUAGGACCGCC